UAGCUCAGUUGGCAGAGCAGCUGACUCUUAAUCAGCGGGUCCCAGGUUCGAGUCCUGGUGCGCCCACCA
Molecule: transfer RNA, 69 nt
Filed under: Rhodospirillales bacterium RIFCSPLOWO2_12_FULL_58_28
Lineage: Bacteria; Pseudomonadati; Pseudomonadota; Alphaproteobacteria; Rhodospirillales
Description: tRNA-Lys
Rfam family: tRNA
About the family: Transfer RNA (tRNA) molecules are approximately 80 nucleotides in length. Their secondary structure includes four short double-helical elements and three loops (D, anti-codon, and T loops).
Source: RNAcentral